Molecule: ribosomal RNA, 422 nt
Filed under: uncultured bacterium
Lineage: Bacteria
Description: partial 16S ribosomal RNA
Rfam family: Bacterial small subunit ribosomal RNA
Source: RNAcentral
UAUUGGACAAUGGGCGAAAGCCUGAUCCAGCCAUGCCGCGUGUGUGAAGAAGGUCUUCGGAUUGUAAAGCACUUUAAGUUGGGAGGAAGGGGUUGAAGCUAAUACCUUCAAUCUUUGACGUUACCAACAGAAUAAGCACCGGCUAACUCUGUGCCAGCAGCAGCGGUAAUACAGAGGGUGCAAGCGUUAAUCGGAAUUACUGGGCGUAAAGCGCGCGUACGUGGUUCAGUAAGAUGGAAGUGAAAUCCCCGGGCUUAACCUGGGAACUGCUUUCAUAACUGCUUAGCUAGAGUACAGUAGAGGGUAGUAGAAUUUCCUGUGUAGCGGUGAAAUGCCUAGAUAAAGGAAGGAACAUCAGUGGCGAAGGCGACUACCUGGAAUGAUACUGGCCCUGAGGUGCGAAAGCGUGGGGAGGAAACAGG